AUUGAACGCUGGCGGCAGGCCUAACACAUGCAAGUCGAGCGAGCGGCGGACGGGUGAGUAAUGUCUGGGGAACUGCCCGAUAGAGGGGGAUAACUACUGGAAACGGUAGCUAAUACCGCAUACUAUCGGAUGUACCCAGAUGGGAUUAGCUAGUAGGUGGGGUAAAGGCUCACCUAGGCGACGAUCCCUAGCUGGUCUGAGAGGAUGAUCAGCCACACUGGAACUGAGACACGGUCCAGACUCCUACGGGAGGCAGCAGUGGGGAAUAUUGCACAAUGGGCGCAAGCCUGAUGCAGCCAUGCCGCGUGUAUGAAGAAGGCCUUCGGGUUGUAAAGUACUUUCAGCGGGGAGGCGUUACUCGCAGAAGAAGCACCGGCUAACUCCGUGCCAGCAGCCGCGGUAAUUC
RNAcentral lists this ribosomal RNA (406 nucleotides) under uncultured bacterium. Its description in RNAcentral is "partial 16S ribosomal RNA". It matches the Rfam family "Bacterial small subunit ribosomal RNA", at positions 30 to 526 of the family's 1533-position model. The record is from RNAcentral.